AGUGAACGCUGGCGGUAGGCCUAACACAUGCAAGUCGAACGGCAGCACAGUAAGAGCUUGCUCUUACGGGUGGCGAGUGGCGGACGGGUGAGGAAUACAUCGGAAUCUACUUUUUCGUGGGGGAUAACGUAGGGAAACUUACGCUAAUACCACAUACGACCUACGGGUGAAAGCAGGGGAUCUUCGGACCUUGCGCGAUUGAAUGAGCCGAUGUCGGAUUAGCUAGUUGGCGGGGUAAAGGCCCACCAAGGCGACGAUCCGUAGCUGGUCUGAGAGGAUGAUCAGCCACACUGGAACUGAGACACGGUCCAGACUCCUACGGGAGGCAGCAGUGGGGAAUAUUGGACAAUGGGCGCAAGCCUGAUCCAGCCAUACCGCGUGGGUGAAGAAGGCCUUCGGGUUGUAAAGCCCUUUUGUUGGGAAAGAAAAGCAGCAGGUUAAUACCCCGCUGUUCCGACGGUACCCAAAGAAUAAGCACCGGCUAACUUCGUG
This 492-nucleotide ribosomal RNA is filed under the name uncultured bacterium. Its description in RNAcentral is "partial 16S ribosomal RNA". It matches the Rfam family "Bacterial small subunit ribosomal RNA", at positions 29 to 507 of the family's 1533-position model. The record is from RNAcentral.